RNAcentral lists this long non-coding RNA (765 nucleotides) under Nicotiana benthamiana. Its description in RNAcentral is "long non-coding RNA (NBEN_LNC005531)". The record is from RNAcentral. Lineage: Eukaryota; Viridiplantae; Streptophyta; Magnoliopsida; Solanales; Solanaceae.
UGAGAACCCGACAGCUGAUAUUCAGGAAAACUUUGACAAUGGGGAACCAAGACUGAGCCAUGAUUCAGAGAAAUUGGAAAACUCCGGAUCAGAAAACGAUGGUGUUCUGAGAUCAUUUUCUCAAGUGAACUCUGCAUCAGAAGCUGUAUUGCCUUCUGUUGUCACUUCCAAGUUGUUAUCUGGUGGACUUGUACAAGAUUCACCGGGGGAAAGUCCUGUCUCAUGGAAUACACAUGCUCAUCACCCAUUUUCGUAUCCUCAUGAGAUGUCUGAUGUUGAUGCAUCCGUGGACUCUCCUGUGGGAAGUCCUGCGUCCUGGAAUUCACAUUCUCUAAGUCAAACGGACAGUGAUGCAGCUAGAAUGAGGAAGAAAUGGGGAAUGGCUCAGAAACCUAUGCUCGUGGCAAAUUCUUCUCAAAAUCAAUCACGCAAGGAAGCCAGAGGAUUUAAACGGUUUUUGAAAUUUGGGAGGAAAAGUCGUGGCACAGAUAGUUUAGUUGACUGGAUUUCUGCUACCACUUCUGAAGGAGAUGAUGAUACAGAAGAUGGACGUGACCCUUCUAAUCGAUCUUCAGAGGAUCUGAGAAAUGAGGAAGAAAUGGGGAAUUGCUCAGAAACCUAUGCUCGUAGCAAAUUCUUCUCAAAAUCCAUUGCGCAAGGAUACAGCCAGAGGAUUUAAACGGUUUUUGAAAUUUGGGAGGAAAAAUCGUGGCACAGAUAAUUUAGUUGACUGGAUUUCUGCUACAACUUCUGAAGGAGAUGAUG